CCUACGGGUGGCAGCAGUCGAGAAUCAUUCACAAUGGGGGAAACCCUGAUGGUGCGACGCCGCGUGGGGGAAUGAAGGUCUUCGGAUUGUAAACCCCUGUCAUGUGGGAGCAAAUUAAAAAGAUAGUACCACAAGAGGAAGAGACGGCUAACUCUGUGCCAGCAGCCGCGGUAAUACAGAGGUCUCAAGCGUUGUUCGGAGUCACUGGGCGUAAAGCGUGCGUAGGCUGUUUCGUAAGUCGUGUGUGAAAGGCGCGGGCUCAACCCGCGGACGGCACAUGAUACUGCGAGACUAGAGUGAUGGAGGGGGAAGCGGAAUUCGCGGUGUAGCAGUGAAAUGCGUAGAUAUCGAGAGGAACACUCGUGGCGAAGGCGGGUUCCUGGACAUUAACUGACGCUGAGGCACGAAGGCCAGGGGAGCGAAAGGGAUUAGAUACCCCAGUAGUC
Molecule: ribosomal RNA, 446 nt
Filed under: uncultured bacterium
Lineage: Bacteria
Description: partial 16S ribosomal RNA
Rfam family: Bacterial small subunit ribosomal RNA
Source: RNAcentral